CGGGCUGUCCUAGUAUAAGCACUUUAUACUGUGAACUGCGAAUGGCUCAUUAAAUCAGUUAUCGUUUAUUUGAUAGUACCUUACUACCUGGAAACCUGGGGGAAUUUUAAAACUAAUAACUGGCAAAAACCCCGAAUUGAUGAAAGGGUGUAUUUAUUAUAUAAAAAACCAACGCCCUUCUUGGCUCCUUGGUGAAUCCUAAUAACUUAACCAAUCCCAUGGGCUUGCGCCGGCGAUGGUUCAUUCAAAUUUCUGCCCUAUCAACUUUCGAUGGUAGGAUAGUGGCCUACCAUGGUGGCAACGGGUAACGGGGAAUUAGGGUUCGAUUCCGGAGAGGGAGCCUGAGAAACGGCUACCACAUCCAAGGAAGGCAGCAGGCGCGCAAAUUACCCCCUCCCGAUACGGGGAGGUAGUGACACAAAAUACUGAUACAGGGCUCUUUCGGGUCUCGUAAUUGGAAUGUGAACAAUUUAAAUCCCUUAACGAGGAACACUUGGAGGGCAAGUCUGGUGCCACCACCCGCGGUAAUUCCAGCUCCAAUAGCGUAUAUUAAAGU
Molecule: ribosomal RNA, 556 nt
Filed under: Penicillium citrinum
Lineage: Eukaryota; Fungi; Ascomycota; Eurotiomycetes; Eurotiales; Aspergillaceae
Description: SSU rRNA
Rfam family: Eukaryotic small subunit ribosomal RNA
Source: RNAcentral